GUUGGAAAUUAUAUAUCAACCACUCAGUGUUGCAGCAUGACUGAGGACUGAGGUGCAUUGUUUCAGAGUCCCACUCACUGGCAAUUUUCAUUCUAUUCAGCUUAAUGGGAUUGGCAUCACUGGUUGGCCAGCAUUUAUUGCUCAUCUAUAAUUUGCCUUGAAUGAAUGCCUUGCAGAGGACAAUGAAGAAUCAAAGACCUUGACGAUUGUCUUGAAGCACAUAUGGCUUAAUUUCAAAUGCUCAGGUGCAAUAUUUAAAGGCAAGUUGAACACUACUUCAGAUGCUACAAGCACCCCAGGAGCCUGUCUGGUCACUUCUAGAAAGAAGCCGAGAAAUAUGCAGAACCUGAAGCUGGCUCUUAGGUUUACUGAUGUUGCCUUGCAGCUGGAGCUGAAUGGAGUCACUGAGAGAAGAUCCACCCCUUUCCUGGAUGAUGGCACCAGGAGGAGGUCUCUCAGAAUCUACAGCUGAGGAGCAGAUCACCGCAAAUGCCAGUGUCACUGGCCUAACACAACCAUGCAUACUUGUGCAUGUUCACAAACUGUUCCUGCACCCAUUCCCAUCACUCUCAAUCCUCCCCUUUAUCUCAUUGCUAGAAGAAUUAGACCAUGAUUAGACAGAGAGGGACAAGAUCUUUGGGAAUUGCUGGAUAUAAAGAUGCGUACCCUUUUCGAGGAAAGGAUCAUUGAGCUGUUUGAGCUGGGACAGUUCCAAUGCUGACGGGAAGAUACUAAUGAUCCUGCAACCCACUCAGAGACAUUGCCCUCUGCUCUCCUCACAUAAGCAUGAAAGUAAAAGCAUUGAUAUAUGUAAGCUAUUCUCAAACUUCACUGACUAAUUCUUUCUCUUCUGUUUUAUAGAAGCUGGUGUCAUCUAUCCCCAGGCCUAGUGUAUGAGGUCACUGAUUGAGCAUUUGUGUCAGUACCACAUCUGAGGAAGAAGUCAGAGGAAGCCAGCAGAGCAUUCAUCUGAAACCUCCAUCAAUACAGAAAAUGUCACUUUGGUGGAGGCUUUAGCUAGAAUAGACUCAGGGAUACAAUCUGGUCAGCACAUCAUCGCAUGUGUCUGAAGCUACUGGAGGUCUCUGAAGCGCACAGGACUGCAAUAGUUCAGGUCCCUGAUGAGCCCCAUGCAGCAUAUCUUCCCAGGUACUCAGC
Stegostoma tigrinum is the source of this 1158-nucleotide long non-coding RNA. RefSeq lists it as uncharacterized. The record is from RefSeq and is a predicted model, not a curated record. NCBI's taxonomy places the organism in Eukaryota, Metazoa, Chordata, Chondrichthyes, Orectolobiformes, Stegostomatidae. The transcript is spliced from 3 exons.